UACGUAGGUGGCAAGCGUUGUCCGGAUUUAUUGGGUUUAAAGGGUGCGUAGGCGGCCUUAUAAGUCAGUGCUGAAAUAUCCCGGCUUAACCGGGAGGGUGGCAUUGAUACUGUAGGGCUUGAGUGUAGUCGAGGUAGGCGGAAUUGACGGUGUAGCGGUGAAAUGCUUAGAUAUCGUCAAGAACACCGAUAGUGUAGACAGCUUACUAGGCUACAACUGACGCUGAGGCACGAAAGUGUGGGGAUCAAGCAGG
This 253-nucleotide ribosomal RNA is filed under the name uncultured bacterium. RNAcentral's name for it is "partial 16S ribosomal RNA". It matches the Rfam family "Bacterial small subunit ribosomal RNA", at positions 524 to 776 of the family's 1533-position model. The record is from RNAcentral.